UAGGGAAUAUUGGUAAUGUGCGAAAGCGCGAACCAGCAACGCCGCGUGCACGAUGAAGGCCUUCGGGUCGUAAAGUGCUUUUAGAGAGGAUGAGGAAGGACAGUACUUUCUGAAUAAGCCUCGGCUAACUGCGUGCCAGCAGCCGCGGUAAAACGUAGGAGGCGAGCGUUAUUCGGAUUUACUGGGCGUAAAGCGCGUGCAGGCGGCUCGAUAAGUUGGAUGUGAAAGCUCCCGGCUUAACUGGGAGAGGUCGUUCAAUACUGUCGGACUAGAGGAUGAGAGAGGGAGGUGGAAUUCCGAGUGUAGUGGUGGAAUGCGUAGAUAUGCGGAGGAACACCAGUGGCGAAAGCGGCCUCCUGGCUCAUAUCUGACGCUCAGACACGAAAGCUAAGGUAGCAAGCG
Molecule: ribosomal RNA, 402 nt
Filed under: uncultured prokaryote
Description: bacterial SSU rRNA
Rfam family: Bacterial small subunit ribosomal RNA
Source: RNAcentral